CUCCAGACUCCUACGGGAGGCAGCAGUGGGGGAUAUUGCACAAUGGGGGGAACCCUGAUGCAGCGACGCCGCGUGGGUGAAGGAGUAUUUCGGUAUGUAAAGCCCUAUCGGCAGGGAAGAAGAAAGACGGUACCUGACUAAGAAGCCCCGGCUAACUACGUGCCAGCAGCCGCGGUAAUACGUAGGGGGCAAGCGUUAUCCGGAUUUACUGGGUGUAAAGGGGGCGCAGACGGCGAUGCAAGCCAGGAGUGAAAGCCCGGGGCCCAACCCCGGGACUGCUCUUGGAACUGCGUGGCUGGAGUGCAGGAGGGGCAGGCGGAAUUCCUGGUGUGGCGGUGAAAUGCGUAGAUAUCAGGAGGAACACCGGUGGCGAAGGCGGCCUGCUGGACUGCAACUGGCGUUGAGGCCCGAAAGCGUGGGGAGCAAACAGGAUUAGAUACCCCGGUAAC
This 449-nucleotide ribosomal RNA is filed under the name uncultured bacterium. Its description in RNAcentral is "partial 16S ribosomal RNA". It matches the Rfam family "Bacterial small subunit ribosomal RNA", at positions 329 to 794 of the family's 1533-position model. The record is from RNAcentral.